This 1399-nucleotide ribosomal RNA is filed under the name uncultured bacterium. RNAcentral describes it as "16S ribosomal RNA". It matches the Rfam family "Bacterial small subunit ribosomal RNA". The record is from RNAcentral.
GAUAAACGCUGGUAGCAUGCUUAAGCCAUGCAAGUCUUCGCUCCUUUUUGGAGAGAGGCAAACGGGUGAGUAACACAUGGGUAAUCUACCCCUCGCUCAGGAAUAACCCUACGAAAGUGGGGCUAAUGCCUGAUAGUCUCCAUAAACUUUGGUUUAUGGAGUAAAGAUUGCGGCGAGGGAGGGGCCCGUGUCCUAUCAGCUUGUUGGUGGGGUAAUGGCCUACCAAGGCAAUGACGGGUAGGGGGCUUGAGAAGGUGGCCCCUCACACUGGGACUGGGACACUGCCCAGACUCCUACGGGAGGCUGCAGAUAGGAAUCUUCCGCAAUGGGCGAAAUGCCUGACGGAGCAAUGCUGCGUGAACGAUGACGCCCUUCGGGGUGUAAAGUUCUUUUCUGAGGGAAAACUUCCGAUGGUACCUCAGGAAUAAGCUACGGCUAAUAUCGUGCCAGCAGCCGCGGUUAUACGGUAGUAGCGAGCGUUAUCCGGAUUUAUUGGGCGUAAAGCGUCCGUAGGCGUCCUUUCAAGUUUUUGGUUAAAUCCUUAGGCUCAACCUAAGAAUUGCCAAAAAAACUGUUAGGAUUGAGGAUAGGAAAGGAGAGCGGAAUUCCCGGUGUAGGGAUAAAAUCCAUAGAUAUCGGGGAGAACGCCAAAGGUGAAGACAGCUCUCUAGCCUAUUCCUGACGCUGAGGGACGAAAGCGUGGGUAGCGAACAGGAUUAGAUACCCUGGUAGUCCACGCCGUAAACGAUGGAUACUGGAUAUUGGGAGGUUCUACCCCUCUUCAGUAUCGAAGCUAACGCGUUAAGUAUCCCGCCUGGGGAGUACGGCCGCAAGGCUAAAACUCAAAAGAAUUGACGGGGACCCGCACAAGCGGUGGAGCAUGUGGUUUAAUUCGACAUUAAGCGAAGAACCUUACCGAGGUUUGACAUCUUCCGAAGACCUUAGAAAUAAGGUUGUGCCUUUUAGGAACGGAAUGACAGGUGUUGCAUGGCUGUCGUCAGCUCGUGCCGUGAGGUGUUAGGUUAAGUCCUCAAACGAGCGCAACCCCUAUUGUAUGUUAUAUUCUCAUACAAAACUGCCCCGGCAAACGGGGAGGAAGGUGGGGAUGACGUCAAGUCCGCUUUGCCCUUAUACCUCGGGCGACACACGUGCUACAAUGGGCAGUACAAAGGGUUUUGCCUACCUGCGAAGGGAAGCUAAUCCCAUCAAAGCUGCUCCAAGUUCGGAUUGAAGGCUGCAAUUCGCCUUCAUGAAGUUGGAAUCGCUAGUAACUGUGGGUCAGCCAUACCACAGUGAAUAUGUUCUCGGGUCUUGUACACACCGCCCGUCAAGCCACGGAAGCUGGUAAUACUCGAAGUCCCCGCAUUGCGGGGCCUAAGGUAGGACCAGUGACUGGGGC